CGGAGAGGUAGUGACGACAAUUAACUCAUGAAAUAACUAUGUUAUUUCUUGAAGGAAUGAGUAAGAAGUAAAUAUUCUUACAAAAUCAAUUGGAGGGCAAGUCUGGUGCCAGCAGCCGCGGUAAUUCCAGCUCCAAUAGUGUAUAUUAAAGUUGUUGUGAUUAAAACGCUCGUAGUUGAAUUUAAAUGAAUUGAUGUUUAAAUUCUUAUUGCUUUCAAAUUCAAUUUGAAUCUGAUAAGAAUUUAAGUUAUAUACAUCAAUAUAUAAGGACAUUACUACUAUUCAAAUGAAUAGUAGUAAUGAUUACUUUGAAAAAAAUAAAGUGUUUAAAGCAAAACAUAUUUGUUAAUGAAUAAUGAAGCAUGGGACAAUAUCUAAAGGAGAAUCAAUUUAUUGAUUUUCAAGAAAAAGAUUAAAAGGAAUAAUUGGGGUGAUUCAGAAAAUUUUGGGAGAGGUGAAAAUCCAUGAUCAAAAUAAGAUGAACGAGAGCGAAAGCAUUUCACUCAAUUAUAUUCAUUAAUCAAGAACGAAAGUUAGGGGAUCGAAGACGAUCAGAUACCGUCGUAGUCCUAACUAUAAACAAUGUCAACCAAGGAUUGGAUAAAUUAAUGA
Molecule: ribosomal RNA, 612 nt
Filed under: Entamoeba sp.
Lineage: Eukaryota; Evosea; Mastigamoebida; Endamoebidae
Description: SSU rRNA
Rfam family: Eukaryotic small subunit ribosomal RNA
Source: RNAcentral